RNAcentral lists this long non-coding RNA (778 nucleotides) under Fukomys damarensis (Damara mole-rat). RNAcentral describes it as "lncRNA (ENSFDAG00000033053.1)". Lineage: Eukaryota; Metazoa; Chordata; Mammalia; Rodentia; Bathyergidae. The record is from RNAcentral.
UCACAGUGAACCAGGGGCCCUGGUUCCUGUGGACCACCUCUUUCUCUGCAGCGUGCCUGUCCCUACCUCCCGUGACUCCUCAGGUUGUCUGUCCAUCUUCCCCAGGCCCGGGAGACACUUACAGGAAUCUGGAAAAUCUAGGACAGCUGGUGACCCAUUCUGGCUGGGUGAUGGAAGGCUCACUCGGUGCUGAGCCCCAGAAAAAGUGUGCCAGGCAGAGAUGCGCUUGUGCAGAAAGGGACUUAGUCACACAGAAGACAGCUUCUGAUCUCAGCCACAAGGAUGGCAGGAAGACACAAUACCCAGGCCCUCUGGACUCUUGGGCAAUCCUGCGGGAAGCCCGAGUGCCUUGUGGACCGAGCCUGGAGGAGCCAGUCAUCUGUCAGAGCACCAGAGCUCCAGUCGGGUCCAGGGAGCCGGAUAUCGAGAACAAUUAGCAUUCCCUGUAUGUCUCUAUUAUGAGGACUUCCACGGCUCCCCUGACCUUACUGUCCAUGUUCCACCCGAGCAGCUCCGACUACAGAACAAGAAUUAGUAAGCAGUUCAGACUCCUCACUUCAGUGGCUCCUCUAGAUUCCAUCGAACUUUUGGCCUUUAACAGCCAUGGAAUUCAGAGUUGGUUUUCUUACCCAUAGAUGGGCAGGUUUCUUCCACUGUCCACAGUGAUGAAAGCCAUCGUGCAUCUCCUGUGUCCUGUGUGAUUUUCUGAAUUUUAAUUCAUUAGGUUUCCUGUGUACAUUUUGGCUCCUUGAUUAGCUUAAAAACAAGAGUAAUGCCA